Cordylochernes scorpioides is the source of this 113-nucleotide non-coding RNA. The record is from the annotation of a GenBank genome assembly. Lineage: Eukaryota; Metazoa; Arthropoda; Arachnida; Pseudoscorpiones; Chernetidae.
GUUUCAUUUUCUCCUUUUCACCGGUUCUCGUCCGAUCAGGUGAAGUUAAGCAAUGUCGGGGCCGGUCAGUACUUGGGAGGGUGACCUCCUGGGAACACCAGGUGCUGUAGGCU